This 497-nucleotide ribosomal RNA is filed under the name uncultured bacterium. Its description in RNAcentral is "partial 16S ribosomal RNA". It matches the Rfam family "Bacterial small subunit ribosomal RNA", at positions 28 to 507 of the family's 1533-position model. The record is from RNAcentral.
GAUGAACGCUGGCGGCGUGCCUAAUACAUGCAAGUCGAGCGAACAGAUAAGGAGCUUGCUCCUUUGACGUUAGCGGCGGACGGGUGAGUAACACGUGGGUAACCUACCUAUAAGACUGGAAUAACUCCGGGAAACCGGGGCUAAUGCCGGAUAACAUUUAGAACCGCAUGGUUCUAAAGUGAAAGAUGGUUUUACUAUCACUUAUAGAUGGACCCGCGCCGGAUUAGCUAGUUGGUAAGGUAACGGCUUACCAAGGCAACGAUACGUAGCCGACCUGAGAGGGGGAUCGGCCACACUGGAACGGAGACACGGUCCAUGCGCCUACGGGAGGCAGCAGUAGGGAAUCGGACGCAAUGGGCGAAAGCCUGACGGAGCAGCGCGGCGUGAGUGACGAAGGUCUUCGGAGCGUAAAACUCUGUUAUGAGGGAAGAACAAAUGUGUAAGUAACUGUGCACGUCUUGACGGUACCUAAUCAGAAAGCCACGGCUAACUACGUG